AAUGAAUAUCGACCGGUAGCGUCGAUAUCUGUAACAUCUGGAUGAAGCAUUAGUUUAUUUUCUUUUCGUUUGACACUUGAUAUUGACAGACAACAUUGGCAGCUGUCAGUAACAACAGUGUUAAAUGCAAUGGUCAGAAAAUAAGUGUGAAAUUCCAGAAAAGACCCUUUGACAAUUCCAGCAUAUCGUGUACGCACUCAUGGAAGACGGCAAGAUAGAAAGUGGCGUGCAUAGGGCUGGUAGAUAAGAUUUUAACUCUCUUCCUGAAUAAGGAGGCAGCAAUGGCGAAGGGGAUCCAUGCAAGGAGGACCCAUGUAUUUAUAUUGGACUACUACUAUUUUACACCGCAAUUUAAAAUAACAUCUUAGUCAUCAACAAAAAGGAGACUUUCCCAGUGCUUUACCACCCUUGGAUGGCUAUCAGUAGGAAUUCAAAAGAGCAACGGCCUCAAAUUACUACCCUGUGGCACAGCAAAAACUGCAGAAAAACCCUCAGACCUUGAUUUUGCAACUUUAAAAACCUGUUGUAGUUAGGUCAGGUACUUUACGUGAAAAUCGAGUAGAAAAUAGCCCACUAAGGUCAAAGCAAGAAUGGAAAACUGAAAAAAAGGCUUCUGUCAUAAGUCUGCAUGUCAAGAUGUUGUAGUUGUUCAAUGGAAGGAACAAAGUUUUAGCAGCUGCUUCAAAUUUUGGCGUAUCUGCAAACACAACAGCUCCACGUUACUGCAGAGAAACUAAAUCUAAGGUAAAUGUUCCACAGCCAGGCAUAAUAUAUAAUUAUAAUAGAGGGAUGGGUGGGGUAGAUAAAUUAGACAACAUGGAUGCCAACUAUAGGGCCCGAAUAAGACAAAGAAAAUGGUGGUGGCCAAUUUUAUUUUUCGAAGAAACAUAGCCAUAGCUUUGCGGCCUUCAUAUGGCGUAAAGUCUGUAAAAGGGAAACUAAGACCAACCUUACCGCUGGAUGUUAGGCUUGAUAAUAUCAAUCAUUUGGUGGAAUAUUCUGAGACUGAUAGAAAAUGUGCAUUUUGCAAAAAAAGGCAAAUUUUGUUUGCAUAAAAUAUAAUGACUUCAAGGCUUAUCACACUAAAUAGGCAUAUCAAAGAAUACAUUUUUUGUUGAUUAUCAGAAUUUUUAUUUUGUUAUUUUUAGCACAAUGUCCCUCAUAAGGGACUGUUCUUUUUUUCAAAUGAAUACAUUUCUUGUUUUUUUUCCACAUUUGCCUGCUUAUUUCAAGUACACUAAACAAAUGUUUAAUAAAAAACGUAUGUGUUUCUUAUUCGAUGCUACUUCAUGCACUAAUGGGUUAAAUAAGUUUUGGUUGAAAGUCUCUUUACUGCUUUAUUUUUAUAUCAAAAAAAUAUUACUGUAGCUUUCGCUAAAAUCCGAUAGGGGCAUUGACUUGGGGAUUUACGUUAUUCAAGUUAACGAUAUAUAUUUUUUUAUGCUAUUAAGAGCAGGGAACAAAGCUAAACAGAUUGGUAAAAACCGCAUUCAAAUAUAACUACUCAAACUAAAGUUAUUAAAAAAAAAUGUAACCAUUAAAAAAUUAAAAUUACAAAAAUCGUCGUAAAUUCAUAUUGCAUUAGUCGAAUUGAGAAAACUUGUGUUUAAAUGAAUAUUCGUUUAAAGAAAGAAACUUAGUAUAAGUAGGUUUUCGAAAAUCCAUGAGGAGGCGGUCUUUCAUAUAAUACAUUUAUAUUAAUAGAUUAUUUCGUCUUAGAUUUUCAAAAUGGGCGCCCCUAUGUUCACGCGUAGACUUUGUUUAGCUAAGAAAAGGUACAGCACGUGUUGUUCGGCUCGGUUGCGCAGUAAAUUUGUUUACGCCGCUGCCAAAGCAACGGUAUCGAUCGCCCCGAUUUGCAUAUAAACACUGCCGUUGCGUUAAUUCUUAUAUUUGUGUUCUGUGCUUUUUAGUGUUUAUGUCUUUUCUUAAAAAAGGCGCGCUACUGUCGCUAAUCGCGCGUUAUUAGGGGACAUAACUUGGCGCAGCUUUGAAACAGAUAGUGUACCUUUCCUUAGCUAGACAAACUCUAGCUGCAAUUUUUCCCUCCCUCGUAGAGAUAUUGACACAUUCAAUUUCCUCUCUAGGCAAACCAUGUAUCGCAUUUUAAAUUCUGAGGAUCAUAUUUUCUGAAUGUCGGCCUGGUCCGAAAAACGAGGUCUUUUACUCUUCCCUAGAGGUAAAAAUCUAAAACGGUCAAGUGGGGUGACCUGGCUGGCCAUAGAAACAGGCUUUCUCUUUCUAUACAUCGAGUAUAGGAAGUAUGGUAAUGCAGCAUUUAACACCUAAUUGCAGCAAUGGGUAUUGUCGCGCCAACGGAAAGCUACCCGCUUUAGGUGGUUACGACGGUUCGAUAAAAAUAAAACACCCAGUAAAACAGUCACUAAGAUGCUUUAUUUAAACAAGGGAUUAUUACAAAAGUUAACUAGCGAAAUUAAAAAAAAAAAAAAAAACCGGAACGAAAAAAGAUACAUAAAAAGUGUUCUUUAAAAUUAAUGUGUACUCUUGACCGACUAAUACUAAAAAAUCUAUUCGAUAUAAAAUCUCAAAGCCUUUCACCGAACAAAACAGUUUUUUUAUUUCGUUUCCUUACCGUUUAGAAUUUUAUUUAUUAAAACAUUAAAUAAAAUUCUGCUUAUGAGGCAGCGGCUUCGAUGGUAUACCCGUGAAAUACAGACUAAACAACUUUUUUCCCGGUGCCUUAAAUGGAUUUAUUAAGAUCCAGAUUUACAUCUCCCAAUAAAAUUGGCAAUGUGUUUCUGCGGAACUCUAGAUAUUACCUCUUAGUGCCUCGUCAAAGACAUAUGGUCCUAUAAUUGUGCCACCUAUUAUACCACACCAUACAUUUAUACUACAGCGUCCUUGAUGCUGAAGUUCUUGCUUCCAAUGGGGAUUUAUGAAGACCAAUAAUGUAUAUUAUGGCGAUUUACCCCACCAUUGCUAUUAAAAGUAGACUCGCCUGUACAAAGAAUUCUGUAUAGAAAUUGAGGGUUUUCGUUAACCAUUCCCAGAAGCCAAUGGCAAUAAUCGAGUCGUCUAUCGAAAUCCGUAUCUGUCAAAGCUUAGUGCAGAACGACAUGAUAGGGAUGUAAUCUGAAUGUAAACUAAAUUUGCAUCAAUAUGAAUCCUAUUUGAUUGACCUCUAAGAUAUUGUAUAUACAGGGUGAUUCAGUUUAAGCGUCAUUAAUUUUAAUACGUGAUAGAGAAUUUAAAAAGAAAUAAACUUUCAUUAUAAAAUUUUUCUCACAAAUGUUUAAUAACAAAGAUACAGGGUGCUAAAGUUAAGAAUAAUUAAUUGUUUAUUUAUCAUAACUUUUAAACUACCUGCUCAAUUUUAAUUAAAUUUGCGCAUGCAGGUUAUUGUACUGAAUUAUCAAGUACUGAUAAAGGCAAUUUCUAAUAAAAUUGCCAGUGGCGUAACAUACGGAGGGACUUGGUCCCUUUUUGUCUCAAAUCUGC
Molecule: long non-coding RNA, 3459 nt
Filed under: Anthonomus grandis grandis
Lineage: Eukaryota; Metazoa; Arthropoda; Insecta; Coleoptera; Curculionidae
Description: uncharacterized LOC126744380
Source: RNAcentral